RNAcentral lists this ribosomal RNA (252 nucleotides) under Pneumocystis jirovecii. RNAcentral describes it as "partial large subunit ribosomal RNA". It matches the Rfam family "Bacterial large subunit ribosomal RNA", at positions 821 to 1066 of the family's 2925-position model. Lineage: Eukaryota; Fungi; Ascomycota; Pneumocystomycetes; Pneumocystales; Pneumocystaceae. The record is from RNAcentral.
GUGAAAUACAAAUCGGACUAGGAUAUAGCUGGUUUUCUGCGAAAAUUGUUUUGGCAAAUUGUUUAUUCCUCUCAAAAAUAGUAGGUAUAGCACUGAAUAUCUCGAGGGAGUAUGAAAAUAUUUAUCUCGGAUAUUUAAUCUCAAAAUAACUAUUUCUUAAAAUAAAUAAUCAGACUAUGUGCGAUAAGGUAGAUAGUCGAAAGGGAAACAGCCCAGAACAGUAAUUAAAGCUCCCCAAUUAAUAUUAAGUGA